ACAGAGGGUGCGAGCGUUGUUCGGAAUUACUGGGCGUAAAGCGCGCGCAGGCGGCCUUUUAAGUCUGACGGUGAAAUGCCGGGGCUCAACCCCGUGCCCGCCGCGGAUACUGGGGGGCUGGAGCACUGUAGAGGCAGGCGGAAUUCCGGGUGUAGCGGUGGAAUGCGUAGAGAUCCGGAAGAACACCGGUGGCGAGGGCGGCCUGCUGGGCAGUGGCUGACGCUGAGGCGCGACAGCGUGGGGAGCAAACAGGA
Molecule: ribosomal RNA, 254 nt
Filed under: uncultured prokaryote
Description: partial 16S ribosomal RNA
Rfam family: Bacterial small subunit ribosomal RNA
Source: RNAcentral